CCUACGGGCGGCAGCAGCAAGGAAUUUUCUGCAAUGGGCGCAAGCCUGACAGAGCAACGCCGCGUGGGGGAUGACGCGCUUCGGUGUGUAAACCCCUUUUCCCUGGGACGAAGGACAUGACGGUACCAGGGGAAGAAGGACCGGCUAACUACGUGCCAGCAGCCGCGGUAACACGUAGGGUCCGAGCGUUGUCCGGAAUUACUGGGCGUAAAGCGCGCGCAGGCGGUCUGGUCAGUCGAUGGUGAAAGCCCCACGCUCAACGUGGGAAGGUCCGU
Molecule: ribosomal RNA, 275 nt
Filed under: uncultured bacterium
Lineage: Bacteria
Description: partial 16S ribosomal RNA
Rfam family: Bacterial small subunit ribosomal RNA
Source: RNAcentral